ACGGGUGAGUAACGCGUGAGCAAUCUGCCCUUCGGAGGGGGACAACAGCUGGAAACGGCUGCUAAUACCGCAUAACGUAUCGUGGUGGCAUCACCGUGAUACCAAAGAUUUAUCGCCGAAGGAUGAGCUCGCGUCUGAUUAGCUAGUUGGUAGGGUAAUGGCCUACCAAGGCUGCGAUCAGUAGCCGGACUGAGAGGUUGAACGGCCACAUUGGGACUGAGAUACGGCCCAGACUCCUACGGGAGGCAGCAGUGGGGAAUAUUGGGCAAUGGGCGAAAGCCUGACCCAGCAACGCCGCGUGAAGGAAGAAGGCCUUCGGGUUGUAAACUUCUUUGACCAGGGACGAAAUUUGACGGUACCUGGAAAACAAGCCACGGCUAACUACGUGCCAGCAGCCGCGGUAAUACGUAGGUGGCAAGCGUUGUCCGGAUUUACUGGGUGUAAAGGGCGCGUAGGCGGGACUGCAAGUCAGAUGUGAAAUCUGGGGGCUUAACCCUCAAACUGCAUUUGAAACUGUGGUUCUUGAGUAUCGGAGAGGCAGGCGGAAUUCCUAGU
This 555-nucleotide ribosomal RNA is filed under the name uncultured bacterium. Its description in RNAcentral is "bacterial SSU rRNA". It matches the Rfam family "Bacterial small subunit ribosomal RNA", at positions 102 to 674 of the family's 1533-position model. The record is from RNAcentral.